Engraulis encrasicolus (European anchovy) is the source of this 1324-nucleotide long non-coding RNA. RefSeq lists it as uncharacterized. The transcript is spliced from 2 exons. The record is from RefSeq and is a predicted model, not a curated record. Lineage: Eukaryota; Metazoa; Chordata; Actinopteri; Clupeiformes; Engraulidae.
UGCUGUUAUCAGAAGUGGUGCCAAAGUAUUCUAUUGAAAUUAACCAAAUGCUCAGCAAAAUAAAAUUAAUUAUUGCCAUUAACAUAGCACAGCACGUUUAAAGGACCAGUUCAGUCAAUUUUUUUUAACAUGCAGUUGUAAUGCUCACACUACCUUGGACUUGUCAGUACCUGAGGGUUUUUUUUCUUCUUCCGAAAUCUUGGUCAUUGUAAUGGGGGCAGUGCUUUGUUUACAUGUCAAAAAAACAUUUUUAUUUAUUCCCAACACCCAAAAACAUCCGAAAGGUUAUACAACAUCAGCAGACAACUAGCAAACAGCGGUACCUUUCGGGGAAAUGUUUGGAGUAGUCUUAUGCAAAAAACAUUUUUUUAAAUGUAAACAAACGCUGCCCCCAUUAGAAAAGCUCAUCCCGGAUAAUAAUCAUAUCUCGUGGCAUCACCGAGUACUGACAAGUCAAGGGUAGCGUGAGCAAUACAACAGCAUAUUGAAAUUGACUGAACUGGUCCUUUAAGCCUACUUGCCCAAGAAUAUGGCAAUAAGAGUACUUUCAUCUGUGUGACAGUGACCUAUACAUAUUCUAGAUAUUGUGCUAUCCUGCAGUUAUGUUAUGCCCAUUCACUUUCAUUUGAUUUUUAAGUGAAAACGAAAGGAUGUACGUGGUCUACACUUCUGUACACAGACUCGUGUGCACAAACAAAUCUCAAGACAACCGAUCACAAGUUAUCUGUAAUUGCCAAAAGCGUCUUGGGAAAGACAGCGGGCAGAAGUGAUCGUCUGUUUUUAACCCCUUAAGACGCGGCUUUAUACAUUUGUUGUUACCAGUAUGGUAAUGACCAAGUCGUGGUGCAUUACUAAAGGGCCUGUGUUGUGUCAUGGUAUUGUAGUGCUAUGGUAGUUACAUUUCAAUGACUAUUACAGCGUGCCUCUGGAGGUACGGCGCGCAUUAAGGGGCUACAUACAGCUGAUAUAAACUGUCCUGACCUUAACCUUAACGGAGCACAGUGGAAGUUGUCUAAACUAUAUUUCUCAACCUAACCUUUAACUGUCAGUUGCUUUGGUUAAAAGCGUCAGUAAAUGUAAUGUAAUGUAAUCUCUCCCCCACUUUCAGUUGCUGUUGAAUGACCGUGCUGACCUCCAAGCUGAGCUAUGGCAAGGCAGUGAACACAUCAGUGGUUUUGGACCAACCAGCUCUCCAGCUGCAUCACUGAAUUGGUGGAACUGCACAAACUACAAGUCUGCUGUGCCUCAUGCAUACUCCCGGUCGACCACAGUGCAAGAUUUAACUACUUAUAACAAGGGACAACAUGGCAUCCCCCACAUCCUU